GACGAACGCUGGCGGCGCGCUUAACACAUGCAAGUCGAACGGAAAGGCCUGCUUUCCCUUGUGGAUUGCGGGUACUCGAGUGGCGAACGGGUGAGUAACACGUGAGUGAUCUGCCCCCAACUUGGGUAUAAGCCUGGGAAACUGGGUCUAAUUCCCGAUAGGACUGCAGGGUGGUGCCUGUGGUGGAAAACGAUUUUCUAGUGGUUGGGGAUGAGCUCGCGGCCUAUCAGCUUGUUGGUGGGGUAAUGGCCUACCAAGGCGGCGACGGGUAGCCGGCCUGAGAGGGUGGACGGCCACAUUGGGACUGAGAUACGGCCCAGACGCCUACGGGAGGCAGCAGUGGGGAAUAUUGCACAAUGGGCGGAAGCCUGAUGCAGCGACGCCGCGUGGGGGAUGACGGGGUUCGGGUUGUAAACUCCUUUCGACCGAGAGGAAGCCACCUGGUUGGAAGGGUGGUGACGGUAGUGGUAGAAGAAGCACCGGCUAACUACGUG
This 494-nucleotide ribosomal RNA is filed under the name uncultured bacterium. RNAcentral's name for it is "partial 16S ribosomal RNA". It matches the Rfam family "Bacterial small subunit ribosomal RNA", at positions 28 to 507 of the family's 1533-position model. The record is from RNAcentral.